RNAcentral lists this transfer RNA (73 nucleotides) under Stegodyphus mimosarum. It matches the Rfam family "tRNA". From Rfam's summary of the family: Transfer RNA (tRNA) molecules are approximately 80 nucleotides in length. Their secondary structure includes four short double-helical elements and three loops (D, anti-codon, and T loops). Further hydrogen bonds mediate the characteristic L-shaped molecular structure. tRNAs have two regions of fundamental functional importance: the anti-codon, which is responsible for specific mRNA codon recognition, and the 3' end, to which the tRNAs corresponding amino acid is attached (by aminoacyl-tRNA synthetases). tRNAs cope with the degeneracy of the genetic code in two manners: having more than one tRNA (with a specific anti-codon) for a particular amino acid; and 'wobble' base-pairing, i.e. permitting non-standard base-pairing at the 3rd anti-codon position. Lineage: Eukaryota; Metazoa; Arthropoda; Arachnida; Araneae; Eresidae. The record is from Rfam by way of RNAcentral.
GCCUUCGUGGUGUAAUGGCCAGUACACUCGGCCCGUAUUCGAGAGGUUCGCGGUUCGAACCCCGGCGAGGGCA